This 376-nucleotide long non-coding RNA is filed under the name Elaeis guineensis (African oil palm). RNAcentral describes it as "long non-coding RNA (EGUI_LNC021367)". Lineage: Eukaryota; Viridiplantae; Streptophyta; Magnoliopsida; Arecales; Arecaceae. The record is from RNAcentral.
CCACCUUCCCCAACUUCAAUCGUUAGGUCCACCUCGACCAUGACCCCUUUCGGCUCUCCAACUUUGGAUCCUUCAACUUCGCCACUGCAGUCAUGGCCGCCUACUCCGCUGCCAACAGUGUCCCCUCACCCAUGUCCACCUCCAAUCUCAGCCACUGCCAUCAGUAUCUCCUAACCAUCUGCUCUCCCUCCGCCAUCCCCAUCGUUGCUUGAAGCCCAUGGAAAACGACCCACUUUGCCGUCUCCAUUGCUGCUCGAAGUCUACGGAGAGCAACCCCCUUCGCUGUCACUGUUGCCGAUCGAACCCUUUGUGUAGGAUGGUUCACCACAGAGAUCUAGGACACUUGGAAGAAAGCCCACAUCUGACUCGUGCCUAC